RNAcentral lists this ribosomal RNA (493 nucleotides) under Virgibacillus halodenitrificans. RNAcentral's name for it is "bacterial SSU rRNA". It matches the Rfam family "Bacterial small subunit ribosomal RNA", at positions 990 to 1486 of the family's 1533-position model. Lineage: Bacteria; Bacillati; Bacillota; Bacilli; Caryophanales; Bacillaceae. The record is from RNAcentral.
UCUGCAUCGGUAGAGAUCCNUCUUCCCUUCGGGGACAGAGUGACAGGUGUCGCAUGGUUGUCGUCAGCUCGUGUCGUGAGAUGUUGGGUUAAGUCCCGCAACGAGCGCAACCCUUGAUCUUAGUUGCCAGCAUUUAGUUGGGCACUCUAAGGUGACUGCCGGUGACAAACCGGAGGAAGGUGGGGAUGACGUCAAAUCAUCAUGCCCCUUAUGACCUGGGCUACACACGUGCUACAAUGGAUGGAACAAAGGGAAGCAAAACCGCGAGGUCAAGCAAAUCCCAUAAAACCAUUCUCAGUUCGGAUUGCAGGCUGCAACUCGCCUGCAUGAAGCCGGAAUCGCUAGUAAUCGCGGAUCAGCAUGCCGCGGUGAAUACGUUCCCGGGCCUUGUACACACCGCCCGUCACACCACGAGAGUUGGUAACACCCGAAGUCGGUGAGGUAACCUUUUGGAGCCAGCCGCCGAAGGUGGGACCAAUGAUUGGGGUGAAGU